RNAcentral lists this ribosomal RNA (52 nucleotides) under Microascus cinereus. RNAcentral's name for it is "partial 28S ribosomal RNA". The record is from RNAcentral. Lineage: Eukaryota; Fungi; Ascomycota; Sordariomycetes; Microascales; Microascaceae. RNAcentral also lists the same sequence under 5 other names.
GUUUGACCUCGGAUCAGGUAGGGUUACCCGCUGAACUUAAGCAUAUCAAUAA